UGUAGGAGUGAGCCUGCUCGCGAUGGCGGUAUGUCAGCUAAAAAUUUAUUGACUGAUACACCGCUAUCGCGAGCAGGCUCACUCCUACA
This 89-nucleotide unclassified non-coding RNA is filed under the name Pseudomonas granadensis. Lineage: Bacteria; Pseudomonadati; Pseudomonadota; Gammaproteobacteria; Pseudomonadales; Pseudomonadaceae. The record is from RNAcentral.